Molecule: long non-coding RNA, 321 nt
Filed under: Elaeis guineensis (African oil palm)
Lineage: Eukaryota; Viridiplantae; Streptophyta; Magnoliopsida; Arecales; Arecaceae
Description: long non-coding RNA (EGUI_LNC057308)
Source: RNAcentral
ACCUGAAUGGCUAGAGAUCAAAAAAAUAUGUAGUCAAACUCAGUAGCCUCGCUGCAAAUAGCUGAUGACACUGCAGAUCAAAGGACCACUCACACCACUGUAGCAUCGAGAAGAUCACUGAUGAGUGAGUAGAUAUCCAAGUGAUUUCUCGUGUUGGUCACGCUCAGUGCAAAUUAUUCUCUAACAACCACCCACACCCUCACCCCAGUAUCGCUACACUGUAGACUCGAGACUCAUCUACCCAUAAGGAAUGUGAACUGUGCAUUGAUCUCGAAUGGAUGGAUCACAUCCUCUAUGACGAUCCUUUGAUCAGAAAUAUUU